Long non-coding RNA from Leopardus geoffroyi (Geoffroy's cat), 253 nucleotides. RefSeq lists it as uncharacterized. Lineage: Eukaryota; Metazoa; Chordata; Mammalia; Carnivora; Felidae. The record is from RefSeq and is a predicted model, not a curated record. The transcript is spliced from 3 exons.
GCCGCUUAACCGACUGCGCCACCCAGGCGCCCCUGUCACACUAUAUCUUAAUUAUCUUUUCAGUUACUAUUAUUUUUACCGAUCUGGCUGCUCAUCGAUGUAUUGUUUCCCUUGAAGGUAGAACAGUGGCAUGUGGUAAAGAGUAAAAUCUUUGUUGGAUGGCUAGAACUGACACAGGGAGUUUGUGAAUUGCUUACAAAGCUGAAGUAGUUAAGCUUGAUCAUGUAAGUAGUGAGUGGAGCAGUUUAACAGU